RNAcentral lists this ribosomal RNA (495 nucleotides) under uncultured bacterium. RNAcentral's name for it is "partial 16S ribosomal RNA". It matches the Rfam family "Bacterial small subunit ribosomal RNA", at positions 30 to 507 of the family's 1533-position model. The record is from RNAcentral.
UGAACGCUGGCGGCGUGCCUAAUACAUGCAAGUCGAGCGAACGGACGAGAAGCUUGCUUCUCUGACGUUAGCGGCGGACGGGUGAGUAACACGUGGAUAACCUACCUAUAAGACUGGGAUAACUUCGGGAAACCGUAGCUAAUACCGGAUAAUAUUUUGAACCGCAUGGUUCAAAAGUGAAAGACGGUCUUGCUGUCACUUAUAGAUGGAUCCGCGCUGCAUUAGCUAGUUGGUAAGGUAACGGCUUACCAAGGCAACGAUGCAUAGCCGACCUGAGAGGGUGAUCGGCCACACUGGAACUGAGACACGGUCCAGACUCCUACGGGAGGCAGCAGUAGGGAAUCUUCCGCAAUGGGCGAAAGCCUGACGGAGCAACGCCGCGUGAGUGAUGAAGGUCUUCGGAUCGUAAAACUCUGUUAUUAGGGAAGAACAUAUGUGUAAGUAACUGUGCACAUCUUGACGGUACCUAAUCAGAAAGCCACGGCUAACUACGUG